GGGAAGCUUUGGAGGAAAUUUGGCGGACAAGUGAUGGAGAAGUCGAAGAAUCUUCAGACAGCAGCUUGGAUUUGGAAGUUGAAGAAGAUGAAGAAGUGCCUCUGAGAGACCCAGUUCACGAAUCAGUGAAUCGGGGUUUGUCUGAAAACAGACAUCUGAAGUCAUGGCUUGUACAUCACAAUCUUCCUUGGAGUAUCUGAGGAAUGCCAGAGUUCAGCUUGUUGGAGGAUUAAGGAAUCUCUCCAUAAUUCUUGAGAACUUGUAUAAGCAAGGAGUCCUCCAUGAUGAAGAGGUCAGCAAAAUAAAGGUAGAGAAAGAUGACUAUGAUAGAACCAGAGCAAUGCUGCGUUCAGUAACUAGAAAAGGUGAAGCAGCCUGCUAUCAGUUACUGAAGAUUAUUUACCAAACGAGGAAAAGAACCUUGGAGAGGCCCGAUCCUGUCUUCAAGAACAGUCAUGAAGCUUCAGCUGAGACUAAAAAGUUUGACCUGAACCACUGGAUCAGCUGCUUUUCUUUCACAGAAGAUGUAGAAAUGGAUGCAAAUUACAUGCAAGGGCCAAGACCGUGCCACAGAUAUCAAUCAAAGUUGAAAUCAAAAGGAAAAAAAAUAUCAAAGGAGUUUUGGAGGGCCAGCAGGAAUCUAUUUAUGGAUAAUAAGAGUCCUGAUCUAUCGUACACUUCACUUGUGUUGGACACACAAGAGAAAAGCUCUCCAUCCAAAAUAAAGAAAUUAAAAAGCAGGAAAAGCAAACUGAGUCGCCCUAAAAAGUUCAGGACUUACCUUCCAGAGGACAAACCAAAACUAUCCCCCAUUGAUCUUCUGAAAACAGAUAAAAAUAUUCUCCUGGUUGGGAAACCUGGAAUUGGAAAGACAGCACUGAGCCAUGAAAUAUUGAGACUGUGGACAGAAAGAG
Fundulus heteroclitus (mummichog) is the source of this 914-nucleotide long non-coding RNA. RefSeq lists it as uncharacterized. The record is from RefSeq and is a predicted model, not a curated record. The transcript is spliced from 3 exons. NCBI's taxonomy places the organism in Eukaryota, Metazoa, Chordata, Actinopteri, Cyprinodontiformes, Fundulidae.